UAAUCUACUUACUCAAUGUCAAGUUCACCAAAGGAAUUUGGGAUCAGGAUCACAUUUAACAUUCUGUGCUCUAUGGGCCUGAAGGUGAAUUUAACCUAUAGGAAGACAGAGAGUUAGCAAUGGGGUGUCGACAAUCCAAACCUGAGUCGCUUUAAGGAGAAGAAGGGCAAAUUGAGGAUCCCAAACAUUUUAAUUUUUGCCUCCUUUCCCUGAGGAAGCUUAUGUUUUUUGUUCCUGUCUCCACCUGUUUGAACCUGAAUUACCACUUAAUCAACAUCUAUAUUUAAGAAAGAAAACAGAAGACAAGAACAGUGGACAUGGAAAUAGGAACUUCGAGAACAACUUGUAGGCUGGAAAAUGAGGCACAGAAGUAACCACUAUUGGUAACACAAUUUUAAAUCCAAAAUGAAAACAUAAAAUUGAUACAGAAUCACACAGAGAUGCAGAAGCUAGUAUGAUGACCAGAAUAGUAAAGAGAAAAAGGAGACUGGAAGAAAAAAAAUCAGAUUUCAUGGAGAAUGUCUACAGGAAUUAGGUGUGACAAAGCAAAACAAAAAUUCUGUGUUUGUUGUGACACAAACAUUUAAAAAAUAAUAAGUUAGAAAUAUUGAGACAUUUUCAGCAAAUACAUAGUGAAUUCGGUAAGUUUUUUCUCAACAUUCAAAAAGAAUUGGUGUAACUCAUGAAAAGGUGUCCAAUAUCACUAGUCACUUGGGAAAUGCAAAUCAAAAUCACAAUGAGAUACUGCUUCACAUCCAUUAGGAUGGCUAUUGUCCUCCCCACUCCAUCACAAGAACAGCAACAACAAAACCCCAGAAAAUAACAAGUUUUGGUGAAGAAAAAUUGAAACUUUUGUACAUUUCUAGUGGGAAUAUAAAAUGGUUUAAUCACUGUGAACAACAGUAUGGCAAUUCCUCAAAAAACUAAACAUAGAAAUACCAU
Phyllostomus hastatus (greater spear-nosed bat) is the source of this 942-nucleotide long non-coding RNA. RefSeq lists it as uncharacterized. The transcript is spliced from 3 exons. NCBI's taxonomy places the organism in Eukaryota, Metazoa, Chordata, Mammalia, Chiroptera, Phyllostomidae. The record is from RefSeq and is a predicted model, not a curated record.